CGCAUCUGUGCAUGCAGCAUAUCAAUAAGCGGAGGAAAAGAAACUAACAAGGAUUCCCUUAGUAACGGCGAGUGAAGCGGGAAGAGCUCAAAUUUGAAAUCUUCAAGGUUUUACCUUGACGAAUUGUAGUUUAAAGAAGUGUUUUCUGUUGAAGUUUUGGUAAAAGUUCUUUGGAAUAGGACAUCAUAGAGGGUGAGAAUCCCGUAUUUGACCAUUAUUUUCAGCUGUGUGAUACACUUUCAAAGAGUCGGAUUGUUUGGGAAUGCAGUCCAAAAUGGGUGGUAAAUUUCAUCUAAAGCUAAAUAUUGGCGAGAGACCGAUAGCGAACAAGUACCGUGAGGGAAAGAUGAAAAGAACUUUGAAAAGAGAGUUAAACAGUACGUGAAAUUGUCAAAAGGGAAGCGUUUGACACCAGUGUUGUUUUCUCGAAAAUCAAUUAAAAAGAGUUUGAUUUUGUUGUGUAUUGACCUUAACAGCUUGCAUUUCAAUUUUCUUGCUUUUUUUAAUGCACUUCUUCGUUUAACAAGUCAACAUCAGUUUCUUUUGUUGUAAAAAGGUCAUUGGAAGGUGGCUUUCUUUUCGGAGAAAGUGUUUAUAGCCUUUGACUCCUGCAAUCGGAGAGACUGAGGUCUGCAGCGUAGAUCCUUCGGGGUUAGAUACAUUUGUGCUAAGUUAUAGCUUUUUAUAGACAACUUGUUGACUAUGAUUAGUCUUGUAGCUUACUCGCUUAUGCUAUUUUACCUACGCUUAGGAUGUUGACACACGCGCGUGCUCG
This 775-nucleotide ribosomal RNA is filed under the name uncultured Neocallimastigales. RNAcentral's name for it is "partial large subunit ribosomal RNA". It matches the Rfam family "Eukaryotic large subunit ribosomal RNA", at positions 26 to 644 of the family's 3401-position model. The record is from RNAcentral. Lineage: Eukaryota; Fungi; Neocallimastigomycota; Neocallimastigomycetes; Neocallimastigales.